Molecule: long non-coding RNA, 2422 nt
Organism: Meleagris gallopavo (turkey)
Lineage: Eukaryota; Metazoa; Chordata; Aves; Galliformes; Phasianidae
Source: Ensembl
AUGACAGGAGCAACAUCCAUGCAGGGUGCUGCUGAAGGACAGGGGUUUGAUGGGCCCAGGCAGGUGCCACACUUGCAGAGAGGGGAGGCUGUGCUUUCACUGCACAUAGCAGAUCUCAGCAGCUGCCCAAUCAAAAACAAAGCACUGUGUGCACAAAGGCACGUGUGCACAACAAGCUGCCUCAUUGAUGUCUCAGAUGUAGUGGACAAACAGCACCCAUACGUGCCAUCUUGUGGAUUUCAAGCCUAUCUACCCUGUUCAAAGCCUGAAUGCCUUAAUGGAUCCUCCCCAUCCCUGGAGGCACUCAAGGCCAGGAAACAAAAUGCAUACUUCUCACCUGGACAGUCACUAGAAGAUCUACCACCACUACACUUGACCUGCAGCAUCAUGUAUCACACUUAGCACCUCGAAGGUAUGAUCAUGCCUCUUCCUCAAGACAAAGAUGACUACUGGGCAGAGGGAAAACAUAGUAAUAUGGCACAGCCCAAAGGCUAUAGAGAAACACAGCUGCAGCAUGUGUGAGCCAGAGCUGCUGUGCUAAGAUCCAUCACAAACCACUGCCAUAGGAUGCAAUGGUAAUAUUAAGUAAAAAAAAAGUCAGACCUUUAGAGCUUUCAUGAGAACAUAAGCCAAAACACCACAGAACCAUAGAAAAACUUGGUUUGGAAGGGACCUUAAAGCCUACUUUUCUGUGGGCAGGGCUGUCCCCACCAGCUCAGGCUGCUCAGGGCCCCAUCCAACCUGGCUUCGAGCGCCUCCAGGGAUGGGGCAUCACAGCUUCUCUGGGCAGCUUCUCUGCCAGCACCUCACCACCCUUUGAGGAAAGAACUUCCCCCUGACAUCUAACCUGAAUCUCCUCUCUUUUAGUUUAAAGCCAUUCCCCCUUGUCCUAUCACUAUCAGACCAUGUAAAAAGUCAGUCUCCCUCCUGUUUAUAAGCUCCCUUCACUGGAAGGCUGCAAUGAGGUCUCCCCAGCCUUCUCUUCUCCAGGCUAAACAAGCCCAACUCCCUCAGACUUUCCUCACAGAAGAGGUACUCCAGGCCUUUGAGCAUCCUUACGCUCUCCCUGAACCCUCUCCAACAGCUCUGCAUCCUGCUUGUGUAGGAAGAUCUGUGCAAUCACUCAGUUCAUACUAGUGUCGAUCACACAGUAAUUCCCAAACUAACACCAGCUCCAGGCACAAGGAAGCAUAGAUAUGUAAGGCCUACCUCCCUGCCGAAGCUGCAAUGGAAAUACUAACAAUUGCUCCGGCGGCUCCUCGCAAGUUCCAAAUGCUGUCAAGCAAAGCACAGAGCAGACAGAAGCAUCAGCGGUGGCACCUGGAUAAAACCCUGACCGACCCAACACCCUAGUACACAAACAGCACAUCGCAGGCUCCACCUUGGAUGGCGACCAUCAUCACCCCAGCCCCGGCUGCCAAAGCGCUGGGCAGCCCCUGGGGCCACCCCGCAGCUCCCCUCGCUCCCCAGGGCCCGCAAGGGGCAGGGCAGGCCGCGGGGCGGCGGCGGAGCGGGCCGUGCUGAGGGGAGUGCCGCAUUACGCCGUAGGACCCCGGCCGGCCCGCUGCGUAUCUCGGUCCCGCCGGCCCGACCGCCUCGGAGCCAAGCGGGAGAGGGCGGUGGGAAAAGGCCCUACAGCGCGUCUCCCUACCUCAGUGGGCAGCCAUUGUUGUGGGCGGGAAGGCAAGGCGAACUACAACUCCCAGCAGCGCCCGGCCCGGCAGCCCCUUCUCUUGCCCCGUGUCGGGGCUGGGUGUGCUGGUAGCGGGCUUGCGGGGAAACGCCAGAGCUGGGUUGCUGGCUGGUUAAAUAGUGCUGAGUGCUUCAGAUGUGUACAUUGUUAGCGAGCUCUUCAGUUUCUGAAGUUCCCCGUGGAAAGCUUUGCCUUCACUUCCUCAGCUGAUCCCUACAACGGCUUCAAAGGCGGCACCGCCCCAUGUGACGGGAAACCUCCAGCUACGGGAGGGUUAGGUUGGCUAUCAGGAAAAGCUUCUUUACAGAAAGCGUUGUAAAGCACUGGAAUAGGCUCCCCAGGGAGAUAGUUGAAUCACCAUCCCUGGAUGUGUUUAAAAACCAUUUGAAUGUGGUGCUCAGGGACAUGAUUUAGCAGAGGGCUGUUAGAGUUAGGGUAGUAUGGUUAGGUUGUGGUUGGACUCCUUUUCCAACCUGAGUGAUUCUAUGAUUUUAUUCUAUGAUUCUAAGACAGUGUGUUAGGUGGACUGUCUUUUUUCACCUGAAUGAGGGCAACUUUUGGGCUUGCCUGGGCUGCACUGAGUAUGGAGUUGUCUUGAGUCACAUAUACAUUAUCUAGGCUGCUCCAAAAGUAGUGCCUCCUAUUUAUUUCCAGGGAAACUACAAGAGAUACAAAGAGUACAAUAACACUGUUUGAUAAAUUGUCAGCUACAAAACACUGUUAUAGUCU